UAGGGAAUCUUCCACAAUGGACGAAAGUCUGAUGGAGCAAUACCGCGUGAGUGAAGAAGGUUUUCGGAUCGUAAAGCUCUGUUGUAAGGGAAGAACACGUACAGGAGUAACUGCCUGUACCUUGACGGUACCUUACCAGAAAGCCACGGCUAACUACGUGCCAGCAGCCGCGGUAAUACGUAGGUGGCAAGCGUUGUCCGGAAUUAUUGGGCGUAAAGCGCGCGCAGGCGGUCCUUUAAGUCUGAUGUGAAAUCCCAAGGCUCAACCUUGGACGGUCAUUGGAAACUGGAGGACUUGAGUACAGAAGAGGAAAGCGGAAUUCCACGUGUAGCGGUGAAAUGCGUAGAGAUGUGGAGGAACACCAGUGGCGAAGGCGGCUUUCUGGUCUGUAACUGACGCUGAGGCGCGAAAGCGUGGGGAGCAAACA
This 427-nucleotide ribosomal RNA is filed under the name uncultured Caryophanaceae bacterium. RNAcentral's name for it is "bacterial SSU rRNA". It matches the Rfam family "Bacterial small subunit ribosomal RNA", at positions 355 to 774 of the family's 1533-position model. Lineage: Bacteria; Bacillati; Bacillota; Bacilli; Caryophanales; Caryophanaceae. The record is from RNAcentral.